GAUGAACGCUAGCGGGAGGCCUAACACAUGCAAGCCGAGCGGUAUUUGUCCUUCGGGACAGAGAGAGCGGCGUACGGGUGCGGAACACGUGUGCAACCUGCCUUUAUCUGGGGGAUAGCCUUUCGAAAGGAAGAUUAAUACCCCAUAAUAUAUCGAAUGGCAUCAUUCGAUAUUGAAAACUCCGGUGGAUAGAGAUGGGCACGCGCAAGAUUAGAUAGUUGGUGAGGUAACGGCUCACCAAGUCAGUGAUCUUUAGGGGGCCUGAGAGGGUGAUCCCCCACACUGGGACUGAGACACGGACCAGACGCCUACGGGAGGCAGCAGUGAGGAAUAUUGGACAAUGGGUGAGAGCCUGAUCCAGCCAUCCCGCGUGAAGGACUAAGGCCCUAUGGGUUGUAAACUUCUUUUAUACUGGGAUAAACCUACUUACGUGUAAGUAGCUGAAGGUACAGUAUGAAUAAGCACCGGCUAACUCCGUG
Molecule: ribosomal RNA, 479 nt
Filed under: uncultured bacterium
Lineage: Bacteria
Description: partial 16S ribosomal RNA
Rfam family: Bacterial small subunit ribosomal RNA
Source: RNAcentral